This 1285-nucleotide ribosomal RNA is filed under the name metagenome. RNAcentral's name for it is "bacterial LSU rRNA". It matches the Rfam family "Bacterial large subunit ribosomal RNA", at positions 1617 to 2910 of the family's 2925-position model. The record is from RNAcentral.
GCUCUUAUUACUGUUAAAUUAAAAUAACCUGUACCCUAAACUGACACAAGUAGGUAGGUAGAGAAUACUAAGGGGCGCGAGAUAACUCUCUCUAAGGAACUCGGCAAAAUGGCCCCGUAACUUCGGGAGAAGGGGUGGUGUUAUUUUCUAAAUAACUCCCGCAGUGACCAGGCCCAGGCGACUGUUUAUCAAAAACACAGGUCUCCGCAAAGUCGUAAGACAAUGUAUGGGGGCUGACGUCUGCCCAGUGCCGGAAGGUAAAAGAAGUUGGUUAUUCUUUAGAAAAAGCUGACGACUGAAGCCCCGGUGAACGGCGGCUGUAACUCUGACAGUCCUAAGGUAGCGAAAUUCCUUGUCGAGUAAGUUUCGACCCGCACGAAAGACGUAACGAUCUGGGCACUGUCUCGGAGAGAGACUCGGUGAAAUAGAAAUGUCUGUGAAGAUGCGGACUACUUAUACCAGGACAGAAAGACCCUAUGAAGCUUGACUGUAAUUUGGAAUUGAGUUCGGGCUUUUUUUUGCGCAGUCUAGGUGGGAGGCAUUGAUGUAAAAUUUUUGGAUUUUAUGGAGCCAAAAUUGAGAGACCACCCUAAAAAGGCUAGAAUUCUAAUAGGACUCCUUGAAUCAGGAUCCUUGACAGUUUCAGAUGGACAGUUUGACUGGGGCGGUGAUCUCCUAAAAGGUAACGGAGAUGUGCAAAGGUUCUCUCAGGCUGGACGGAAAUCAGCUAUAGAGUGUAAAGGUAGAAGAGAGCUUGACUGCAAGACCAACAAGUCGAGCAGGGGCGAAAGCCGGCCUUAGUGAUCCGACGGUUCCGAGUGGAAGGGCCGUCGCUCAACGGAUAAAAGUUACUCUAGGGAUAACAGGCUGAUCUCCCCCAAGAGUUCACAUCGACGGGGAGGUUUGGCACCUCGAUGUCGGCUCAUCGCAACCUGGGGCUGGAGUCGGUCCCAAGGGUUGGGCUGUUCGCCCAUGAAAGCGGUACGUGAGCUGGGUUCAGAACGUCGUGAGACAGUUCGGUCCAUAUCCGGUAUAAGCGUAAGAGCAUUGAGAGGAUCUCAACAUUGUACGAGAGGACCCGAAGGGACGUACCUAUGGUGUACCAGUUCUUAUGCCAAUAGGAAACGCUGGGUAGCUAUGUACGGAGUGGAUAAUCGCUGAAAGCAUUUAAGUGAGAAGCCCACCUCAAGAUGAGUGCUCUCUAUUAGAUCACGGCAAGACAAGCCGGUACAUUGGUAUCAAGUGUAAGAUUAGUAAUAAUUUGAGCUGAGAUAUACAAACGAUC